GAUGAACGCUGGCGGCGUGCUUAACACAUGCAAGUCGAACGAUGAAGCCCAGCUUGCUGGGUGGAUUAGUGGCGAACGGGUGAGUAACACGUGAGUAACCUGCCCUUAACUCUGUGAUAAGCCUGGGAAACUGGGUCUAAUACCGGAUAGCAGCGUCCACCGCAUGGUGGGUGUUGGAAAGAUUGAUCGGUUUUGGAUGGACUCGCGGCCUAUCCGCUUUUUGGUGAGGUAAUGGCUCACCAAGGCGACGACGGGUAGCCGGCCUGAGAGGGUGACCGGCCACACUGGGACUGAGACACGGCCCAGACUCCUACGGGAGGCAGCAGUGGGGAAUAUUGCACAAUGGGCGCAAGCGUGAUGCAGCGACGCCGCGUGAGGGAUGACGGCCUUCGGGUUGUAAACCUCUUUCAGUAGGGAAGAAGCGAAAGUGACGGUACCUGCAGAAGAAGCACCGGCUAACUACGUG
This 466-nucleotide ribosomal RNA is filed under the name uncultured bacterium. RNAcentral describes it as "partial 16S ribosomal RNA". It matches the Rfam family "Bacterial small subunit ribosomal RNA", at positions 28 to 507 of the family's 1533-position model. The record is from RNAcentral.